CGAACGCUGAUAAAAUGGCGGCAGUCUGUUUCAAGCAGGUUAGUGUUAAUUCCACAAUCUGUUUCACCAGUUCCAACUAAACAGAACAAAAUGUCAAAUCGUUUCAGUUAAAAGAAAGGAGAACAGCUGAAAAUGUCAAAACAUUCUGUCUCCAAAAAGAACAAUAGGUUGUGUCUGGCUAGUGGUGCCAUGGUGUUAAACUGUGGCUGGCUUGCUAGCCUGGAGGUCGGGUGUUUGAUCCCUUCAUUGUCCGAGAAAGUUCAUCCAGAUUUUCCUGCAUGGUUCCCCCUUGUCAGUGAUGCAGGACAGGGGGGUCUGAAAAGGACAGAUGUCUAGUCGUUCGGAUGUUACGAAAAACCGAGGUCCCAUGUACACAUUGGUGUUAACGUAAAAGAUCCCUUGACAGUUGGAAUUCGAUACAACAGUAGGCCGUAGUGCGGAUGUCGGGGCAAAAUUUCCCUCAUAGCACACUGUAUGGUGUAUGCCCAGUUCGGAGCAGAACAGUAGGACGAUAAACCACAUUUCAUUUCACCUAAACAUUGGUUGUACAGGACUGAACCCAAACACUUUGAACAUACUGUACGUACUCUCUGUGGAAUAUCCUCUAUAAUUUAGUAUAAGUGACAUUAUUUUUAUCAACAGGAAGACACUUCAUUAUAAUACAUCAUUAUCCACCUGAGAUAUUCCACUUGAAAUCACAAACUAUAACCCUUAUUAAAGGAACUAAGUCGCUUAUAUUUUGGACCUAGAAAUUGACAAAAAUGGGUUGCAACGCAUAUAAUA
Long non-coding RNA from Patella vulgata (common limpet), 783 nucleotides. RefSeq lists it as uncharacterized. NCBI's taxonomy places the organism in Eukaryota, Metazoa, Mollusca, Gastropoda, Patellidae. The record is from RefSeq and is a predicted model, not a curated record. The transcript has 3 exons.